This is a long non-coding RNA of Cyprinodon tularosa, 232 nucleotides long. RefSeq lists it as uncharacterized. The transcript has 3 exons. NCBI's taxonomy places the organism in Eukaryota, Metazoa, Chordata, Actinopteri, Cyprinodontiformes, Cyprinodontidae. The record is from RefSeq and is a predicted model, not a curated record.
CAGCAAUGUCCAGGACCUUGUUUCCAGAACCCUCAACUGCACCAGAAGUACAGAAUAUCUCUCCAGAGGUUGAGAGGACCACCGGAAAUUUGGGGGAAGAGCAGACACUUCUAGAUUGGCGAUCUCUGCGGUCCCAGCAAGACAAAGACUAUGAAGAGUCUUUGUUAGCAGACCAAGAAAAAGAAAGGAGAAGACAGUGUUACAAGGCCUUGGAGGAAAGACGCAUAAAGGU